RNAcentral lists this ribosomal RNA (166 nucleotides) under uncultured bacterium. Its description in RNAcentral is "partial 16S rRNA". It matches the Rfam family "Bacterial small subunit ribosomal RNA", at positions 355 to 511 of the family's 1533-position model. The record is from RNAcentral.
UAGGGAAUCUUCGGCAAUGGGGGCGAACCCUGACCGAGCAACGCCGCGUGAGUGAAGAAGGUUUUCGGAUCGUAAAGCUCUGUUGUAAGAGAAGAACGUGUGCGAGAGUGGAAAGUUCACACAGUGACGGUAACUUACCAGAAAGGGACGGCUAACUACGUGCCAG